CCUACGGGAGGCAGCAGUGAGGAAUAUUGGCCAAUGGGCGGAAGCCUUAACCAGCCAAGUAGCGUGCGGGAUGAAGGCCCUACGGGUCGUAAACCGCUUUUGCACGGGGAUAACACCCUUCACUUGUGGAGGUCUGCAGGUACCGUGCGAAUAAGGGCCGGCUAAUUCCGUGCCAGCAGCCGCGGUAAUACGGAAGGCCCGAGCGUUAUCCGGAUUCAUUGGGCUUAAAGGGAGCGUAGGCGGGCGUUCAAGUCAGCUGUAAAAUCGCGCGGCUCACCCGCGCCCCGCAGUUGAAACUGGACGUCUUGAGUUCACAACAGGCAGGCGGAAUUCGUGGUGUAGCGGUGAAAUGCAUAGAUAUCACGAGGAACCCCGAUUGCGAAGGCAGCCUGCCGGGGUGCGACUGACGCUGAGGCUCGAAGGUGCGGGUAUCAAACAGGAUUAGAUACCCCAGUAGUC
Molecule: ribosomal RNA, 459 nt
Filed under: uncultured bacterium
Lineage: Bacteria
Description: partial 16S ribosomal RNA
Rfam family: Bacterial small subunit ribosomal RNA
Source: RNAcentral